CCUACGGGAGGCAGCAGUCGGGAAUAUUGCGCAAUGGAGGAAACUCUGACGCAGUGACGCCGCGUGCAGGAAGAAGGUUUUCGGAUUGUAAACUGCUUUAGACAGGGAAGAAAAAAGACAGUACCUGUAGAAUAAGCUCCGGCUAACUACGUGCCAGCAGCCGCGGUAAUACGUAGGGAGCAAGCGUUAUCCGGAUUUAUUGGGUGUAAAGGGUGCGUAGACGGAGAAGCAAGUUAGUUGUGAAAUCCCUCGGCUUAACUGAGGAACUGCAACUAAAACUACUUCCCUUGAGUACUGGAGAGGAAAGUGGAAUUCCUAGUGUAGCGGUGAAAUGCGUAGAUAUUAGGAAGAACACCAGUGGCGAAGGCGGCUUUCUGGACUGAAACUGACGCUGAGGCACGAAAGCGUGGGGAGCGAACAGGAUUAGAUACCCUUGUAGUC
RNAcentral lists this ribosomal RNA (441 nucleotides) under uncultured bacterium. RNAcentral's name for it is "partial 16S ribosomal RNA". It matches the Rfam family "Bacterial small subunit ribosomal RNA", at positions 338 to 795 of the family's 1533-position model. The record is from RNAcentral.